CGCCCCUACACGCCUGGGCCGAACGGCAUAGGCCUCCUGCUCCCAGGCUGCACCUGCACAGCGUGUGACUGCACUGAAGACUGUAGAAAACUGUAACACAGGGUAUGGAAGCCACAGCAAUGAACAAGACACAAUCCUGGACCCCAUGAGCUCACAGUGAGUGACAGCAGCCACUACAGUGUUAACGAAAGUUUAAUUCGGAGGCCAAUGGGCUGGGAUGGCCCCAGCACUUUUAGUUCCUAUGAACAACUUAUGAAAUUUUCUGUCUCACCUCUGAAGCCCUAGAGAAGUGCUACACUGCUUGCAGUCUGGUGCUGCCCAAUUUAUGAACUGCUGUCUGUUCAAAUAAACUCCACAGAAUUUUAAUGUGCCUAAGUUGAUCUUUUAACAACAGAAAUGCCCAAACCUCAGGAAAACAAGGAUGGCUCACCCUAGAUAGCCAAGCAGGGCAUGAGACGACGUCCUGUGCAUGGGAGUCACCUAGCUGGUGAGUGAGCAGCUGGAUGUAGACCGUGCAUGCCAGAUUUUGUUUAAGGCUCUCCCAUGUGGGUGUGCAGCACAUGCACUGAUAUGAGCCACAUGGCCUCUUCCUGCCUGCAAAGCUUCCACUUGACACAUUUGCUGGCACUGAGCCAUCCUUGCAUUCCUGAGAUAAACCUUACAUGAUUGAGAGCCAUCACUGUGUUAAAAGUAUGGGCACAUGCAUAUUUAUUAGGUAUACAUAGGCAUACUUCUGUACCUGUAAAUGUCUAAUGUCUUAUUUAAUAUUUUCCAUCUGUUCCCAGCAGUCAAUCUGACCUAUAAUUUUCUUUUCUUAUUCUGUCCUUGGCCUGUUUUGUUACCAAGAAUAUAUCAUUCUCAUGUUAGCCAAGUAGCUUUCCCCUCUUUUGUAUUCCCUGGCACAUACUCACUCACUCUUUCUCUCUCUCUCUCUCAAGGAAAGAGAGAUCUAGUUAUUUAAAAUUAUGGAUUUAUUUACUGGUAGUAAGUUUAUUUGCAUUCUCACUGAAUUGUUCAAUUUUAUUUUUUAGACAAAUUGUCCUUUUUAUCUAGCUUUUUAAAUUUUACAUCAUAAAAUUGCUCAUUGUGUUAUAUUUUUUCAAAAAAUUAUAUUUCUAAUAGGCUUUAAAUUUUUUUUCUGAUUUGGUGAGUUUUGAUAGAGAUUGUCUAUUUUUAACUAACUAGCAUUUUGUUUUCUAUUUUGAUUAUUUUUUAUUUUAUAUUUAUCAUUUUCUUUCUCUUAUUUUAUUUAGCGUACUCUGUUCUUUUUCUAGCUCAUUUUGCUAUGUAAGUCAUUUAUUUUUAUUUUCCUUGUCAUUUUCCAAUAAAUACAUGUAUGAACUUUUAAGGUUGCAAUCUAAGUUGCAUUUUAGCUGUCUUCCUACAAAUACUGAUAUAAGUUCAUUUUAUAUUAAUUCCAAGUAUUUUACAAUAUUCAUUGCGGCACUGUUAAGUUAUGAAUUAUGGAGAAGAGUACUGUAUUGGUCAAUUUUCAUGCUGCUGAUAAAGACAUACCCAAGACUGGGCAAUUUACAAAAGAAAGAGACUUAUUGGACUUACGGUUCCAUGUAGCUGGGGAGGCCUCACAAUCAUGGUGGGAGAUGAAGGGCAUGUCUCACAUGGCAGCAGACAAGAGAAGAGAGCUUGUACAGGGAAACUCCCAUUUUUAAAACCAUCAGAUCUCAUGAGACUCAUUCACUAUCAAGACAACAGAGCAGGAAAGACCCACCCCCAAAAUUCAAUCACCUCCCAACAUGCUCUUUCCAUGACAUGUGGGGAUUGUGGGAGUUACAAUUCAAGAUGAGAUUUGGGUAGGGACACAGCCAAACCAUAUCAAGUGCUUUCUGUUGACAUUUGAUUAUUUUCAAGUAUAUGAGGAUGUUUGUUUAUAUUAUUUCUAACUCAACUGCAUUACAUUAUGAGGGAGUAGCCACAUCAUAUUUAUUCUUUAAAAUGUUUGUAAUUGAUUUUGUUACUCUUUGGGUUAUGCUUAAAAAGAGUGUUUAUUCUACACUUGGUAAUACAUAUUUAUCAUAUUACAUUUGUCGUUGUGUUGUUCAAAUCAUCUAUAUCCUCACUAAUUUGUCUGCUUGAGCAAUUCCUUUUCUGAGAAAAUAUACUGAAAUCUAUAAUUGUAGGUUUGUCAAUUUCUCCUUUUUAUUUUAUGAAAUUUAAUGCUAGUUGUAAAAAGCUUAUUAGUUCAUACUUAUUAUGCUCCUGAUUAAUUGGAUUUUUAACCUAUGUAGUGUUUCUUAUCUUUUAUUUUGUAUUUUGCCUUAACUAAAGUUUAUUAAAAUAAAGAUC
RNAcentral lists this long non-coding RNA (2304 nucleotides) under Homo sapiens (human). Its description in RNAcentral is "HSALNT0131979". Lineage: Eukaryota; Metazoa; Chordata; Mammalia; Primates; Hominidae. The record is from RNAcentral.